GCGAGGGGAGUGAAAAAGAACCUGAAACCGUGUACGUACAAGCAGUGGGAGCACGCUUAGGCGUGUGACUGCGUACCUUUUGUAUAAUGGGUCAGCGACUUAUAUUCUGUAGCAAGGUUAACCGAAUAGGGGAGCCGAAGGGAAACCGAGUCUUAACUGGGCGUUAAGUUGCAGGGUAUAGACCCGAAACCCGGUGAUCUAGCCAUGGGCAGGUUGAAGGUUGGGUAACACUAACUGGAGGACCGAACCGACUAAUGUUGAAAAAUUAGCGGAUGACUUGUGGCUGGGGGUGAAAGGCCAAUCAAACCGGGAGAUAGCUGGUUCUCCCCGAAAGCUAUUUAGGUAGCGCCUCGUGAAUUCAUCUCCGGGGGUAGAGCACUGUUUCGGCAAGGGGGUCAUCCCGACUUACCAACCCGAUGCAAACUGCGAAUACCGGAGAAUGUUAUCACGGGAGACACACGGCGGGUGCUAACGUCCGUCGUGAAGAGGGAAACAACCCAGACCGCCAGCUAAGGUCCCAAAGUCAUGGUUAAGUGGGAAACGAUGUGGGAAGGCCCAGACAGCCAGGAUGUUGGCUUAGAAGCAGCCAUCAUUUAAAGAAAGCGUAAUAGCUCACUGGUCGAGUCGGCCUGCGCGGAAGAUGUAACGGGGCUAAACCAUGCACCGAAGCUGCGGCAGCGACGCUGAUGCGUUGUUGGGUAGGGGAGCGUUCUGUAAGCCUGUGAAGGUGUGCUGUGAGGUAUGCUGGAGGUAUCAGAAGUGCGAAUGCUGACAUAAGUAACGAUAAAGCGGGUGAAAAGCCCGCUCGCCGGAAGACCAAGGGUUCCUGUCCAACGUUAAUCGGGGCAGGGUGAGUCGACCCCUAAGGCGAGGCCGAAAGGCGUAGUCGAUGGGAAACAGGUUAAUAUUCCUGUACUUGGUGUUACUGCGAAGGGGGGACGGAGAAGGCUAUGUUGGCCGGGCGACGGUUGUCCCGGUUUAAGCGUGUAGGCUGGUUUUCCAGGCAAAUCCGGAAAACUAAGGCUGAGGCGUGAUGACGAGGCACUACGGUGCUGAAGCAACAAAUGCCCUGCUUCCAGGAAAAGCCUCUAAGCAUCAGGUAACAUCAAAUCGUACCCCAAACCGACACAGGUGGUCAGGUAGAGAAUACCAAGGCGCUUGAGAGAACUCGGGUGAAGGAACUAGGCAAAAUGGUGCCGUAACUUCGGGAGAAGGCACGCUGAUAUGUAGGUGAAGUCCCUCGCGGAUGGAGCUGAAAUCAGUCGAAGAUACCAGCUGGCUGCAACUGUUUAUUAAAAACACAGCACUGUGCAAACACGAAAGUGGACGUAUACGGUGUGACGCCUGCCCGGUGCCGGAAGGUUAAUUGAUGGGGUCAGCGCAAGCGAAGCUCUUGAUCGAAGCCCCGGUAAACGGCGGCCGUAACUAUAACGGUCCUAAGGUAGCGAAAUUCCUUGUCGGGUAAGUUCCGACCUGCACGAAUGGCGUAAUGAUGGCCAGGCUGUCUCCACCCGAGACUCAGUGAAAUUGAACUCGCUGUGAAGAUGCAGUGUACCCGCGGCAAGACGGAAAGACCCCGUGAACCUUUACUAUAGCUUGACACUGAACAUUGAGCCUUGAUGUGUAGGAUAGGUGGGAGGCUUUGAAGUGUGGACGCCAGUCUGCAUGGAGCCGACCUUGAAAUACCACCCUUUAAUGUUUGAUGUUCUAACGUUGACCCGUAAUCCGGGUUGCGGACAGUGUCUGGUGGGUAGUUUGACUGGGGCGGUCUCCUCCUAAAGAGUAACGGAGGAGCACGAAGGUUGGCUAAUCCUGGUCGGACAUCAGGAGGUUAGUGCAAUGGCAUAAGCCAGCUUGACUGCGAGCGUGACGGCGCGAGCAGGUGCGAAAGCAGGUCAUAGUGAUCCGGUGGUUCUGAAUGGAAGGGCCAUCGCUCAACGGAUAAAAGGUACUCCGGGGAUAACAGGCUGAUACCGCCCAAGAGUUCAUAUCGACGGCGGUGUUUGGCACCUCGAUGUCGGCUCAUCACAUCCUGGGGCUGAAGUAGGUCCCAAGGGUAUGGCUGUUCGCCAUUUAAAGUGGUACGCGAGCUGGGUUUAGAACGUCGUGAGACAGUUCGGUCCCUAUCUGCCGUGGGCGCUGGAGAACUGAGGGGGGCUGCUCCUAGUACGAGAGGACCGGAGUGGACGCAUCACUGGUGUUCGGGUUGUCAUGCCAAUGGCACUGCCCGGUAGCUAAAUGCGGAAGAGAUAAGUGCUGAAAGCAUCUAAGCACGAAACUUGCCCCGAGAUGAGUUCUCCCUGACUCCUUGAGAGUCCUGAAGGAACGUUGAAGACGACGACGUUGAUAGGCCGGGUGUGUAAGCGCAGCGAUGCGUUGAGCUAACCGGUACUAAUGAACCGUGAGGCUUAACCUU
RNAcentral lists this ribosomal RNA (2416 nucleotides) under Shigella boydii. RNAcentral's name for it is "bacterial LSU rRNA". It matches the Rfam family "Bacterial large subunit ribosomal RNA", at positions 529 to 2925 of the family's 2925-position model. The record is from RNAcentral. Lineage: Bacteria; Pseudomonadati; Pseudomonadota; Gammaproteobacteria; Enterobacterales; Enterobacteriaceae.